Molecule: ribosomal RNA, 442 nt
Filed under: uncultured bacterium
Lineage: Bacteria
Description: partial 16S ribosomal RNA
Rfam family: Bacterial small subunit ribosomal RNA
Source: RNAcentral
CUACGGGGGGCUGCAGUGGGGAAUAUUGGGCAAUGGGCGCAAGCCUGACCCAGCAACGCCGCGUGAGGGAAGAAGGUUUUCGGAUUGUAAACCUCUGUCCUUGGGGACGAAGAAGUGACGGUACCCAAGGAGGAAGCUCCGGCUAACUACGUGCCAGCACGGCGCGGUAAUACGUAGGGAGCAAGCGUUGUCCGGAAUUACUGGGCGUAAAGGGUGCGUAGGCGGCAUAUUAAGUCAGGUGUGAAAUACUCGGGCUCAACCCGGGGGCUGCAUUUGAAACUGAUAUGCUUGAGUGUGAGAGAGGAAAGUGGAAUUCCUAGUGUAGCGGUGGAAUGCGUAGAUAUUAGGAGGAACACCAGUGGCGAAGGCGACUUUCUGGCUCAUAACUGACGCUGAGGCACGAAAGCGUGGGGAGCAAACAGGAUUAGAUACCCUUGUAGUC